UUGGAGGGCAAGUCUGGUGCCAGCAGCCGCGGUAAUUCCAGCUCCAAUAGCGUAUAUUAAAGUUGUUGCAGUUAAAAAGCUCGUAGUUGAAUUUCGGGAUUGGCGUGUCGGUCGUGCCUUACGGGGUAUGAACUGGCGUCGUCGAUUUCUCACCUUCUGGAGAAUCACGAUGCCCUUAAUUGGGUGUCGUGUGGAACCAGGACCUUUACCUUGAAAAAAUUAGAGUGUUUAAAGCAGGCAUUUUGCUCGAAUACAUUAGCAUGGAAUAAUAAAAUAGGACGGCUUGGUUCUAUUUUGUUGGUUUCUAGGAUCACCGUAAUGAUUAAUAGGGAUAGUUGGGGGCAUUAGUAUUCAAUUGUCAGAGGUGAAAUUCUUGGAUUUAUUGAAGACUAACUACUGCGAAAGCAUUUGCCAAGGAUGUUUUCAUUAAUCAAGAACGAAAGUUAGGGGAUCGAAGACGAUCAGAUACCGUCGUAGUCUUAACCAUAAACUAUGCCGACUAGGAAUCAGACGAUGUUAAUUUUUUAAUGACUCGUUUGGCACCUUACGGGAAAC
RNAcentral lists this ribosomal RNA (555 nucleotides) under uncultured Glomus. RNAcentral's name for it is "SSU rRNA". It matches the Rfam family "Eukaryotic small subunit ribosomal RNA", at positions 548 to 1098 of the family's 1831-position model. Lineage: Eukaryota; Fungi; Glomeromycota; Glomeromycetes; Glomerales; Glomeraceae. The record is from RNAcentral.